RNAcentral lists this small RNA (31 nucleotides) under Bombyx mori (domestic silkworm). RNAcentral describes it as "ovarian small RNA-17109". Lineage: Eukaryota; Metazoa; Arthropoda; Insecta; Lepidoptera; Bombycidae. The record is from RNAcentral.
GCUCUGUGCUUCGGGCUGCCGCAGUUGGCGC